RNAcentral lists this ribosomal RNA (336 nucleotides) under Triticum aestivum (bread wheat). Its description in RNAcentral is "partial small subunit ribosomal RNA". The record is from RNAcentral. Lineage: Eukaryota; Viridiplantae; Streptophyta; Magnoliopsida; Poales; Poaceae.
AUGGAAAAGUUGGAAGCAGCUACAAAAAAAGCUUCAACGGACUAUGAAAAAAGCUUCAACCUAGAGCCAGCAAUGGCUAUGAUGGCGAGGCUGCGACAGGUUGAUGGCGAGGCUGCUACCAAACGACGGCGGGGUGUGACCAUGGAGCAACGCCAUGUUGCAACCAAUGGUGACGAGGGCCGCAAAACGCCCACGAGAUGCAGCUUCAACGGCGACGGCGGGGUUGCGAGCACGUCGACGACGAGACGAGCGAGAAGCGGCGUCCUCUUCACGGGAGGUGCAGUGGGGCGGCCGGCGGCGAGGACGACGACCGGCGACAAGGACAGGAACCAGUGA